RNAcentral lists this ribosomal RNA (253 nucleotides) under uncultured bacterium. RNAcentral's name for it is "partial 16S ribosomal RNA". It matches the Rfam family "Bacterial small subunit ribosomal RNA", at positions 524 to 776 of the family's 1533-position model. The record is from RNAcentral.
UACAGGGGGGGCAAGCGUUGUUCGGAAUUACUGGGCGUAAAGGGCUCGUAGGCGGCCAACUAAGUCCGACGUGAAAUCCCAAAGCUUAACUUUGGAACUGCGUCGGAUACUGGAUGGCUUGAAUUCGGGAGAGGGAUGCAGAAUUCCAGGUGUAGCGGUGAAAUGCGUAGAUAUCUGGAGGAACACCGGUGGCGAAGGCGGCAUCCUGGACCGGCAUUGACGCUGAGGCGCGAAAGCUAGGGGAGCAAACGGG